RNAcentral lists this ribosomal RNA (460 nucleotides) under uncultured bacterium. RNAcentral describes it as "partial 16S ribosomal RNA". It matches the Rfam family "Bacterial small subunit ribosomal RNA", at positions 338 to 795 of the family's 1533-position model. The record is from RNAcentral.
CCUACGGGCGGCAGCAGUGAGGAAUAUUGGUCAAUGGGCGCGAGCCUGAACCAGCCAAGUAGCGUGAAGGAUGACUGCCCUACGGGUUGUAAACUUCUUUUAUAAAGGAAUAAAGUGAGGCACGUGUGCCUUUUUGUAUGUACCUUAUGAAUAAGGAUCGGCUAACUCCGUGCCAGCAGCCGCGGUAAUACGGAGGAUCCGAGCGUUAGCCGGAUUUAUUUGGUUUAAAGGGAGCGUAGAUGGGUUGUUAAGUCAGUUGUGAAAGUUUGCGGCUCAACCGUAAAAAUGCAAUGGAUACUGGCAGCCGUGAGUGCAGGUGAGGUAGGUGGAAUUCGUGGUGUAGCGGUGAAAUGCUUAGAUAUCACGAAGAACUCCGAUUGCGAAGGCAGCCUACUAAACUGCCACUGACGUUGAUGCUCGAAAGUGUGGGGAUCAAACAGGAUUAGAUACCCCAGUAGUC